UACGUAGGGUGCAAGCGUUGUCCGGAAUUAUUGGGCGUAAAGAGCUCGUAGGCGGUUUGUCGCGUCUGCUGUGAAAACUCGGGGCUUAACCCCGGGCCUGCAGUGGAUACUGUCAGACUAGAGUGCGGAAGAGGCGAGUGGAAUUCCCGGUGUAGCGGUGAAAUGCGCAGAUAUCGGGAGGAACACCAAUUGCGAAGGCAGCUCGCUGGGACGUGACUGACGCUGAGGAGCGAAAGCAUGGGGAGCGAACAGG
This 253-nucleotide ribosomal RNA is filed under the name uncultured bacterium. RNAcentral's name for it is "partial 16S ribosomal RNA". It matches the Rfam family "Bacterial small subunit ribosomal RNA", at positions 524 to 776 of the family's 1533-position model. The record is from RNAcentral.